AUUGAACGCUGGCGGCAUGCUUUACACAUGCAAGUCGAACGGUAACAGGCCUUCGGGUGCUGACGAGUGGCGAACGGGUGAGUAAUGCAUCGGAACGUGCCCAGAGGUGGGGGAUAACGCAGCGAAAGCUGUGCUAAUACCGCAUGUGAUCUGAGGAUGAAAGCGGGGGACCACGCAGCAAUGUUUGGCCUCGCGCCUCUGGAGCGGCCGAUGUCAGAUUAGGUAGUUGGUGGGGUAAAGGCCUACCAAGCCGACGAUCUGUAGCUGGUCUGAGAGGACGACCAGCCACCCUGGGACUGAGACACGGCCCAGACUCCUGCGGGAGGCAGCAGUGGGGAAUUUUGGACAAUGGGCGCAAGCCUGAUCCAGCAAUGCCGCGUGCGAGAAGAAGGCCUUCGGGUUGUAAACCGCUUUUGUACGGAACGAAAAGGCUCUGGCUAAUACCUGGGGCUGAUGACGGUACCGGAAGAAUAAGCACCGGCUAACUACGUG
RNAcentral lists this ribosomal RNA (492 nucleotides) under uncultured bacterium. RNAcentral's name for it is "partial 16S ribosomal RNA". It matches the Rfam family "Bacterial small subunit ribosomal RNA", at positions 30 to 507 of the family's 1533-position model. The record is from RNAcentral.